CAAACGGCUCUUUUAAGAGCCACCCACGGUGUCAAAAGAGGAGCUG
RNAcentral lists this non-coding RNA (46 nucleotides) under Podarcis lilfordi (Lilford's wall lizard). It matches the Rfam family "Histone 3' UTR stem-loop". From Rfam's summary of the family: The mRNAs of metazoan histone genes lack a poly-A tail. The record is from RNAcentral. Lineage: Eukaryota; Metazoa; Chordata; Lepidosauria; Squamata; Lacertidae.